This 180-nucleotide ribosomal RNA is filed under the name uncultured archaeon. RNAcentral's name for it is "partial 16S ribosomal RNA". It matches the Rfam family "Archaeal small subunit ribosomal RNA", at positions 457 to 636 of the family's 1478-position model. The record is from RNAcentral.
GCCAGCCGCCGCGGUAAUACCGGCGGCUCGAGUGGUGGCCACUAUUACUGGGCUUAAAGCGUCCGUAGCUGGAUUGUUAAGUCUCUUGGGAAAUCCGCCGGCUUAACCGGCGGGCGUUCAGGAGAAACUGGCAAUCUAGGGACCGGGAGAGGUGAGAGGUACUCCAGGGGUAGGAGUGAA